RNAcentral lists this ribosomal RNA (100 nucleotides) under Jaculus jaculus (lesser Egyptian jerboa). The record is from RNAcentral. Lineage: Eukaryota; Metazoa; Chordata; Mammalia; Rodentia; Dipodidae.
UUAAAUAUCCAUACCACCCUGAAUGUACCCCAUCUCAUCCGGUCUAAGGCACUAACCAGUGUCAGUUUUGGUAAGUGAUUAGACAGAAGAAAUAUGUGUU